RNAcentral lists this ribosomal RNA (404 nucleotides) under Fusobacteriota bacterium. RNAcentral's name for it is "Fusobacteria bacterium partial 16S ribosomal RNA". It matches the Rfam family "Bacterial small subunit ribosomal RNA", at positions 355 to 776 of the family's 1533-position model. Lineage: Bacteria; Fusobacteriati; Fusobacteriota. The record is from RNAcentral.
UGGGGAAUAUUGCACAAUGGAGGGAACUCUGAUGCAGCGACGCCGCGUGAGUGAUGAAGGAAUUCGUUUCGUAAAACUCUUUUCUAUGGGAAGAAAAGGACUGUACCAUAGGAGAAAGCUCCGGCUAAAUACGUGCCAGCAGCCGCGGUAAUACGUAUGGAGCGAGCGUUGUCCGGAACUAUUGGGCGUAAAGGGUGCGCAGGCGGCUUUACAAGUUGGAUGUGAAAUAUUGUGGCUCAACCACAAACGUGCAUCCAAAACUGCAAAGCUUGAGUUAAGGAGAGGUAAGUGGAAUUCCUGGUGUAGCGGUGGAAUGCGUAGAUAUCAGGAGGAAUACCGGUGGCGAAGGCGACUUACUGGGCUUAAACUGACGCUCAGGCACGAAAGCGUGGGGAGCAAACAGG